Molecule: long non-coding RNA, 303 nt
Filed under: Physcomitrium patens
Lineage: Eukaryota; Viridiplantae; Streptophyta; Bryopsida; Funariales; Funariaceae
Description: long non-coding RNA (PPAT_LNC001411)
Source: RNAcentral
GGUAAUCCACUCUCUCCAAGAAGAAUAAGGCUCCAAUAUUGAGAAAGAAGAGAUAUCAGUUUAGAGGAGGGUAAUCCGCAACCUCUAAAAACACUAGCACACCUUCAAGAAGAGGGGUAAUCCACUCUCUAACAAGAAGGAACUAGCUCUGAUACUAGUGAAAAUGCAGUCUCGACAAACUGUCACGGACACAAAAUACAGACUUGAAAUCUAACAAGAAGUUCAAGAAGAAGUGGCAGAACUAGAUUAAACAGAUGACUACAAGAACAACACCAGAAAGGUGAGCUAGAACUCCAAGAGAUG